This 380-nucleotide long non-coding RNA is filed under the name Homo sapiens (human). RNAcentral's name for it is "LHRI_LNC1342.1". Lineage: Eukaryota; Metazoa; Chordata; Mammalia; Primates; Hominidae. The record is from RNAcentral.
CGGGGCGCCCCCUGCGGGAAGCGAGCGCGCCCCGGAAAAUGAGCGCCUCCCCACACCAAGGUGUCCAGGAGUGAGUGCGGGAAGGAACUCGGCCGCCCGGAGUUGUGGCCUCAUCGUGCUUCCCGCCAAAAACGCCUUGGUACUGUCGGGACGCGGCUAAGCGUGGACGCGCCCGCAUCUGCCCCUCCUCCGCAGUGGUGGAAGACACCCGCGGAGCGCCGGUGGAUAAGGGCCGUUUCCUGAGACCAGAGCUGUAUCCGCAGCAGGUCAGCACUUCGUGCGCCCUGUGUGCACCUGUAAGGAAUGGAAUUUAGGCCAGUCGGAUUUUCCAAAUGUGGAGUUGUGAUGCCCAGGCAGAAACUUCAGUUUCUUAGGACUGA